GCCUUUGUGGUGUAGUGGUCAGCAUGCUCAACGCGUAUUCAAGAGGUUCAUGGUUCGAGUCCCGACGAGGGCA
Stegodyphus mimosarum is the source of this 73-nucleotide non-coding RNA. NCBI's taxonomy places the organism in Eukaryota, Metazoa, Arthropoda, Arachnida, Araneae, Eresidae. The record is from Rfam.